Molecule: transfer RNA, 90 nt
Filed under: Elusimicrobiota bacterium
Lineage: Bacteria; Pseudomonadati; Elusimicrobiota
Description: Elusimicrobia bacterium (hot springs metagenome) tRNA-Ser
Rfam family: tRNA
About the family: Transfer RNA (tRNA) molecules are approximately 80 nucleotides in length.
Source: RNAcentral
GGAGAGGUGCCGGAGUGGUUUAACGGGCACGACUGGAAAUCGUGUGUCCUGCCAAAAGCGGGACCGUGGGUUCGAAUCCCACCCUCUCCG